UUUCAUUUGCUUUAGGUAGUACACUUAAAACCGUAAUACAAUGGCGGUCUUAAAUCACUAGAGAAACUCGUUUCAUAAUCGUAAAUACCCGAUAAAUUUAACUUUUAUUAAAAAUCUAUAUACCGCCGUUAAAGAACUUUUUCAAAAAAUAGGUCCAAACAUUCAUAAAACAAAAAUCAGGUCAAGGUGUAGUCAAUAUAAAAGAAGAAAUAAGUUACCAUAAAAAUAAUUUAAGGAAUAAAAACGAAAAUAAUUAAGAAAAAGAAUUUAUAUACACAUUAUAGUUAAAAACUCUAAUCGAAACAAAACUAAAAGACGU
Molecule: ribosomal RNA, 319 nt
Filed under: Quamtana oku
Lineage: Eukaryota; Metazoa; Arthropoda; Arachnida; Araneae; Pholcidae
Description: partial 12S ribosomal RNA
Source: RNAcentral